GACAGAGGGUGCAAACGUUGUUCGGAAUUACUGGGCGUAAAGCGCGUGUAGGCUGCUUGGAAAGUCGGAUGUGAAAGCCCUGGGCUUAACCCAGGAAGUGCACUCGAAACUUCCAAGCUCGAGUCCUGGAGAGGGUGGCGGAAUUCUCGGUGUAGAGGUGAAAUUCGUAGAUAUCGAGAGGAACACCGGUGGCGAAGGCGGCCACCUGGACAGUGACUGACGCUGAGACGCGAAAGCGUGGGGAGCGAACAGG
Molecule: ribosomal RNA, 253 nt
Filed under: uncultured bacterium
Lineage: Bacteria
Description: partial 16S ribosomal RNA
Rfam family: Bacterial small subunit ribosomal RNA
Source: RNAcentral